RNAcentral lists this long non-coding RNA (1296 nucleotides) under Linum usitatissimum (flax). RNAcentral describes it as "long non-coding RNA (LUSI_LNC002487)". The record is from RNAcentral. Lineage: Eukaryota; Viridiplantae; Streptophyta; Magnoliopsida; Malpighiales; Linaceae.
GGGGGAACCCUCUCGUCUUCUUCUCCUUGGGAACCAUUCCUCUUCCCUUCUUUCUUCUUCUUAAUUUCAUCAUCUCUUUGUCUCCCCAUCUCUCUCCUUAAAAUCUCAGAGGAACAGAACACUACUAUGUCGAUCCUGAUCAUGAAAAAGAAGAGGAAAAAGUACUACUGUGGUCGUCUUCACCAAGUUUACCACCGUCGUCGGAUGUUGCAAGGGUGCCUGGCGAAUCAUCAUCAAUAACAAUGGUUUCUGAAGAAAGUCGCCGUCGUUAUUGUCAUCCUCCUCCUCCAUCCUCAACCUAGUCAGGCAGACGGCCGGCCGGCCGGCGGCGUACAAGGGAAAGCCAGGCAUUUUGCUUUUAAAAUUUUAUAUAUUGUUCUUUUUUUUUCCAAUUCAUAUAAAAUGUACUCACUCCAUAGCUAAAGCUUCAUCCCAUUUUCAGGUUGGUUUUUUUACCUUUUUGUUUAAUUCCUACAAUACCAUUUUAAUUUAUGUAGGGUGGGGAAACUAAUUAAAUCAAUGUACUAGCUAGAUAGCUACUAUAUAUAUUGAUCCACAUUGACAUGUCAGUUUUCAUAUGUUCAACUUGGACAACCUACAAGAGUGUUUAGUUUAUUGAAUUGCAAGUUCAUUGAGCUAUGAAUUGAUUAGAAAAUGAGUGAAACUGACGAGAGAUUGUUGGUUGAAUUUAUUCAACCUGAUUAGUGUCAAUUCGGCUAAUAUUUAGCUCCUCUAAAUUCUAGGAGAGAGGAAAACCCCACCUCAAAAUGCAAUUAAACAAAACUACUAAAAAUCAUCAAUAAUGUAUGUUGGUUCUUGGUUUGUUUAUGGUAGUGUACAUGAACAUGUUAUAAUUAGAUAUAUGAAGGAUUUGUUGAGGAGGAUUAGUAAUUAGUUGCACGUGCACAGGCUUGAAAGGUGGGAAGCUUUAUGUUGAAUGGAAAGUUGGAUUGGGUGAAGAAAAUAAAAGUUAGGGUGUCAAAAUCUGGUGCUGAGGGAUUUGGGAUUGCUGGAGUGUACCGUGCGAAGAAUUUUGUUUACCUGAAAUUGGGGGCUGGUUUGUCCCGCAACUGCAAAGAUCAAUAUGGGCUGUGGGUUGCGUUGCAGAGAGCGAGAGAGAGAGAGAGAGGCUGGCCGGGUCCAGUACUGCCACAGAGUUCUGCCAAGAAGUUGGUGUAGUGUUGAAAUCAAUCCAUUCCCCACACACGAUUUUGAACACGAAGAGUUGGUACUUUUUCAUCAGCAUCAGUCAUUUUCAUAGCUAUUCAAACCCUUCCACCCACCGCCAUUUUCCCA